Molecule: RNA transcript, 1638 nt
Organism: Homarus americanus (American lobster)
Lineage: Eukaryota; Metazoa; Arthropoda; Malacostraca; Decapoda; Nephropidae
Gene name: protein AMN1 homolog
Exons: 6
Source: RefSeq, a predicted model, not a curated record
UCACUAACAUUCUUCCUCUUGCUGCCUUUGGUCGUUGUGACGUCACGCAAUACAAUAAGUUGUCGUGCAGUAAGAGUGUUAUCCCGGACGACCAUAUAUGUUAAUACUGUGAAGUUGUUUGGUGUUGAUGUGUCAUGGCCGCCAGUGAUGGUGUGUGACGUACGGGGAGUCAGUAUGUGGUGAUGAUGCAAGACACUUCAGGAACUUUUUCAAUCCCAAAUUAAGACUCAUGAUUCAGGGAAGUACAUCACGUCCUAUUAUGCAGCCUCAGACUCUUCAGGAGCUGUGUCUGGAUGAGGCUUGCUUGAUACCCACAGACUCCUACACAAGACUACCAUGGACUUUAAAGGACCAGCUCUUAAAAAAAUUAACCAGAAGAGGCAAAUGCACUGAUGAUAUUUUUUCUUGGCUUAUUCAUUCACGUGUUACUGAACUUGAAUACCAUAUUCCAUGAAAAUGUCAAUUGUAGCAGCAUUAUUUACAAAAACAUGUUGAAUGGCUUGCAAUUCUGAGAAAGAGCAUCCUUUGCACAAAGAAGCCAUCUUGCAACUGACAAAUUUCAAUUCAAAAGCCUGAGCAUGCACUGGAGUAUAACAUGACACCGAGACUUUCGCUGAUUGGCUGGACAUAAUAAUGAAAUUUGCAUGCCUGUUUAAUCUCAGAUGCUGGGGUGGAGUACCUGAAGACAACAAAGUGUUUGAAAGUUUUGUAUAUGCCUGAACCACCAGUUGUUGAGAACAAUAAUUUUUCAGAGAAUUCACUGAUGGGACUAGGUGAAGGAAAAUCAAUGUUAAGAGUGGUUGCACUUAAUGGUCUUUGUGGAGUGACAGAUGGUGUCAUUGGAUCACUGGUAGGAGGAUGUCCUCAGCUGCAGGAAGUACACAUCUCAUCCACAAGUAUUACCAACCAUGCUCUUACUGCUCUAGCAAAUCUAACACAGCUUGUCUGCUUGAAUAUUGGCAAAACACAGGUAUAGUAUUGGUAUGAGCAUUUGCUGGUAGUCUGUCCUGUCAAAAGAACAUCCUGCUUAAGUUCUUUUGGGUGCAUUGCAACAAACCAUAUUUAAGUUCUUUAUACACAGUUGAACAACAUAAAUUUUUUCCUAGGCCAGGAGGAUCAGCAAUUCCAUUGUUGGCUGUGGAUAUCUGUCUUUCUAUUUACUUCACUCCAACUUCUGAUGGGGUGGAGUAAGAGGUACUGAAAUGUAGAAUAUAUAAUCAUAGUACUGUACUGUAUUUUAUUUUCUACAAAUUUUUAUGCUAUAACUGUUCCUUCAGUUCUUGUAAAGACAAUUAGAUUAUUAUUCAGUCUAUUUUGUGGAAUAAUUUCAUAUGUACUGUGAUACUGUUCAUUUAUUGUAUACUCCUGCUCAUGAUAUUUACUGUCCUUUGAUUGCCUUGAAAUGUACCAGAAAUAUUCUAAGUAACAUCCAUUUAGAUUUAUUUUAUUUCUUGUUACCCAUGGAGAUAAGGUGUGCAGUUAGCAACUACUGUAAAUUAGUACUUAACUAUUGUAGUUUAGUACCUAACUUCAAGAAAAUCCCCAAUGUAUUCCUAAAACAAGUGAAAUCAGUUCAGUGACAAGAAAUAAUAUUGUCUUUACAAGAACUGAAGGAACAGUUAAAGCAUAAAAAAUGAU